This 612-nucleotide ribosomal RNA is filed under the name Exserohilum sp. RNAcentral's name for it is "eukaryotic LSU rRNA". The stretch from base 227 to 380 matches the Rfam family "5.8S ribosomal RNA". The record is from RNAcentral. Lineage: Eukaryota; Fungi; Ascomycota; Dothideomycetes; Pleosporales; Pleosporaceae.
AAAGUCCGUAACAAGGUCUCCGUAGGUGAACCUGCGGAGGGAUCAUUACACAACAAAAAUAUGAGGGUGUGGUUUGCUGGCAACAGCGUCCGCCCCAAGUAUUUUUCACCCAUGUCUUUUGCGCACUUUUUGUUUCCUGGGCGAGUUCGCUCGCCACCAGGACCCAACCAUAAACCUUUUUUUAUGCAGUUGCAAUCAGCGUCAGUAUAAUAAUUCAAUUUAUUAAAACUUUCAACAACGGAUCUCUUGGUUCUGGCAUCGAUGAAGAACGCAGCGAAAUGCGAUACGUAGUGUGAAUUGCAGAAUUCAGUGAAUCAUCGAAUCUUUGAACGCACAUUGCGCCCUUUGGUAUUCCAAAGGGCAUGCCUGUUCGAGCGUCAUUUGUACCCUCAAGCUUUGCUUGGUGUUGGGCGUCUUUUUGUCUCUCCCCUUGUUGGGGGAGACUCGCCUUAAAACGAUUGGCAGCCGACCUACUGGUUUUCGGAGCGCAGCACAAAUUUGCGCCUUCCAAUCCACGGGGCGGCAUCCAGCAAGCCUUUGUUUUCUAUAACAAAUCCACAUUUUGACCUCGGAUCAGGUAGGGAUACCCGCUGAACUUAAGCAUAUCAAUAA